UACGGAGGGUGCAAGCGUUAUCCGGAUUCACUGGGUUUAAAGGGUGCGUAGGUGGGUUGGUAAGUCAGUGGUGAAAUCUCCGUGCUUAACAUGGAAACUGCCAUUGAUACUACUGGUCUUGAAUUUUCUGGAGGUAAGCGGAAUAUGUCAUGUAGCGGUGAAAUGCUUAGAUAUGACAUAGAACACCAAUUGCGAAGGCAGCUCGUUACACGAAGAUUGACUCUGAGGCACGAAAGCGUGGGGAUCAAACAGG
Molecule: ribosomal RNA, 253 nt
Filed under: uncultured bacterium
Lineage: Bacteria
Description: partial 16S ribosomal RNA
Rfam family: Bacterial small subunit ribosomal RNA
Source: RNAcentral